This 340-nucleotide long non-coding RNA is filed under the name Elaeis guineensis (African oil palm). Its description in RNAcentral is "long non-coding RNA (EGUI_LNC016797)". Lineage: Eukaryota; Viridiplantae; Streptophyta; Magnoliopsida; Arecales; Arecaceae. The record is from RNAcentral.
GCCUCUAUUUUUUUAUUUUAUUUUUAUUUUUUUAGUGGAACAGAUUCUCAUACAAUUCUAGUAUGAAUAUAUCCAAAAAAAUUAGAAGAAAGAGUCUUCUAAAAUGCCCAAGGAAUGUUCUCCAUAUUAGUCCAUACAGUCGUCCCAGUAUGCUUAGCCACAUUGAAGGUUAUCCAGUUGAUAGUACUAUUGCCCUCGUGGUAGAUGUGGCAUAUAUCGAAAGAGAUGCAGUUCCUCAUCAAGCACCAAAUAUCGUGAAGUAUAGGAUGUGCAUUCAUUUUGGAUGAAUAUCGUCGAAGCCAAACGAUCAUGGUAGCAGAGUUUCCUUCCACUACCAACC